Xyrichtys novacula (pearly razorfish) is the source of this 5541-nucleotide non-coding RNA. The record is from the annotation of a GenBank genome assembly. Lineage: Eukaryota; Metazoa; Chordata; Actinopteri; Labriformes; Labridae.
GGGUUAGGGUUAGGGUUGGAGUUAGGGUUAGUGUUGGAGCUAGGGUUAGGGUUGGGCUUGGAGCUAGGAUUUUUCUGAGUGCAAUGAACCAACUCCCGAGUCUCUAGGACGUUCCUAAAAAAAUUUGAUUUUUUCCCAUAGGAAUGCAUGGGUUAGGGUUAGGGUUAGGGUUGGAGCUAGGGUUAGGGUUAGGGUUAGGGUUGGAGUUAGGGUUAGUGUUGGAGCUAGGGUUAGGGUUGGGCUUGGAGCUAGGAUUUUUCUGAGUGCAAUGAACCAACUCCCGAGUCUCUAGGACGUUCCUAAAAAAAAUUGAUUUUUUCCCAUAGGAAUGCAUGGGUUAGGGUUAGGGUUUGGGUUGGAGCUAGGGUUAGGGUUAGGUGUGGGGUUGGAGGUAGGGUUAGGGUUAGGGUUAGGGUUGGAGUUAGGGUGAGUGUUGGAGCUAGGGUUAGGGUUGGGCUUGGAGCUAGGAUUUUUCUGAGUGCAAUGAACCAACUCCCGAGUCUCUAGGACGUUCCUAAAAAAAUUUGAUUUUUUCCCAUAGGAAUGCAUGGGUUAGGGUUAGGGUUAGGGUUGGAGCUAGGGUUAGGGUUAGGGUUAGGGUUGGAGUUAGGGUUAGUGUUGGAGCUAGGGUUAGGGUUGGGCUUGGAGCUAGGAUUUUUCUGAGUGCAAUGAACCAACUCCUGAGUCUCUAGGACGUUCCUAAAAAAAUUUGAUUUUUUCCCAUAGGAAUGCAUGGGUUAGGGUUAGGGUUAGGGUUGGAGCUAGGGUUAGGGUUAGGGUUAGGGUUGGAGUUAGGGUUAGUGUUGGAGCUAGGGUUAGGGUUGGGCUUGGAGCUAGGAUUUUUCUGAGUGCAAUGAACCAACUCCCGAGUCUCUAGGACGUUCCUAAAAAAAUUUGAUUUUUUCCCAUAGGAAUGCAUGGGUUAGGGUUAGGGUUAGGGUUGGAGCUAGGGUUAGGGUUAGGGUUAGGGUUGGAGUUAGGGUUAGUGUUGGAGCUAGGGUUAUGGUUGGGCUUGGAGCUAGGAUUUUUCUGAGUGCAAUGAACCAACUCCCGAGUCUCUAGGACGUUCCUACAAAAAUUUAAAUUUUUUCCCAUAGGAAUGCAUGGGUUAGGGUUAGGGUUAGGGUUGGAGCUAGGGUUAGGGUUAGGGUUAGGGUUGGAGUUAGGGUUAGUGUUGGAGCUAGGGUUAGGGUUGGGCUUGGAGCUAGGAUUUUUCUGAGUGCAAUGAACCAACUCCCGAGUCUCUAGGACGUUCCUAAAAAAAUUUGAUUUUUUCCCAUAGGAAUGCAUGGGUUAGGGUUAGGGUUAGGGUUGGAGCUGGGGUUAGGGUUAGGGUUGGAGUUAGGGUUAGUGUUGGAGCUAGGGUUAGGGUUGGGCUUGGAGCUAGGAUUUUUCUGAGUGCAAUGAACCAACUCCCGAGUCUCUAGGAUGUUCCUACAAAAAUUUGAUUUUUUUUCCCAUAGGAAUGCAUGGGUUAGGGUUAGGGUUAGGGUUGGAGCUAGGGUUAGGGUUAGGGUUAGGGUUGGAGUUAGGGUUAGUGUUGGAGCUAGGGUUAGGGUUGGGCUUGGAGCUAGGAUUUUUCUGAGUGCAAUGAACCAACUCCCGAGUCUCUAGGACGUUCCUAAAAAAAUUUGAUUUUUUCCCAUAGGAAUGCAUGGGUUAGGGUUAGGGUUAGGGUUGGAGCUAGGGUUAGGGUUAGGGUUAGGGUUGGAGUUAGGGUUAGUGUUGGAGCUAGGGUUAGGGUUGGGCUUGGAGCUAGGAUUUUUCUGAGUGCAAUGAACCAACUCCCGAGUCUCUAGGACGUUCCUAAAAAAAUUUGAUUUUUUUUCCCAUAGGAAUGCAUGGGUUAGGGUUAGGGUUAGGGUUGGAGCUAGGGUUAGGGUUAGGGUUGGAGUUAGGGUUAGUGUUGGAGCUAGGGUUAGGGUUGGGCUUGGAGCUAGGAUUUUUCUGAGUGCAAUGAACCAACUCCCGAGUCUCUAGGACGUUCCUAAAAAAAUUUGAUUUUUUUCCCAUAGGAAUGCAUGGGUUAGGGUUAGGGUUAGGGUUGGAGCUAGGGUUAGGGUUAGGGUUAGGGUUGGAGUUAGGGUUAGUGUUGGAGCUAGGGUUAGGGUUGGGCUUGGAGCUAGGAUUUUUCUGAGUGCAAUGAACCAACUCCCGAGUCUCUAGGACGUUCCUAAAAAAAUUUGAUUUUUUUCCCAUAGGAAUGCAUGGGUUAGGGUUAGGGUUAGGGUUGGAGCUAGGGUUAGGGUUAGGGUUAGGGUUGGAGUUAGGGUUAGUGUUGGAGCUAGGGUUAGGGUUGGGCUUGGAGCUAGGAUUUUUCUGAGUGCAAUGAACCAACUCCCGAGUCUCUAGGACGUUCCUAAAAAAAUUUGAUUUUUUUCCCAUAGGAAUGCAUGGGUUAGGGUUAGGGUUAGGGUUGGAGCUAGGGUUAGGGUUAGGGUUAGGGUUGGAGUUAGGGUUAGUGUUGGAGCUAGGGUUAGGGUUGGGCUUGGAGCUAGGAUUUUUCUGAGUGCAAUGAACCAACUCCCGAGUCUCUAGGACGUUCCUAAAAAAAUUGAUUUUUUUCCCAUAGGAAUGCAUGGGUUAGGGUUAGGGUUAGGGUUGGAGCUAGGGUUAGGGUUAGGGUUAGGGUUGGAGUUAGGGUUAGUGUUGGAGCUAGGGUUAGGGUUGGGCUUGGAGCUAGGAUUUUUCUGAGUGCAAUGAACCAACUCCCGAGUCUCUAGGACGUUCCUAUAAAAAUUGAUUUUUUCCCAUAGGAAUGCAUGGGUUAGGGUUAGGGUUAGGGUUAGGGUUGGAGCUAGGGUUAGGGUUAGGGUUAGGGUUGGAGUUAGGGUUAGUGUUGGAGCUAGGGUUAGGGUUGGGCUUGGAGCUAGGAUUUUUCUGAGUGCAAUGAACCAACUCCCGAGUCUCUAGGACGUUCCUAAAAAAUUUGAUUUUUUCCCAUAGGAAUGCAUGGGUUAGGGUUAGGGUUAGGGUUGGAGCUAGGGUUAGGGUUAGGGUUAGGGUUGGAGUUAGGGUUAGUGUUGGAGCUAGGGUUAGGGUUGGGCUUGGAGCUAGGAUUUUUCUGAGUGCAAUGAACCAACUCCCGAGUCUCUAGGACGUUCCUAAAAAAAUUUGAUUUUUUCCCAUAGGAAUGCAUGGGUUAGGGUUAGGGUUAGGGUUGGAGCUAGGGUUAGGGUUAGGGUUAGGGUUGGAGUUAGGGUUAGUGUUGGAGCUAGGGUUAGGGUUGGGCUUGGAGCUAGGAUUUUUCUGAGUGCAAUGAACCAACUCCCGAGUCUCUAGGACGUUCCUAAAAAAAAUGAUUUUUUCCCAUAGGAAUGCAUGGGUUAGGGUUAGGGUUAGGGUUGGAGCUAGGGUUAGGGUUAGGGUUAGGGUUGGAGUUAGGGUUAGUGUUGGAGCUAGGGUUAGGGUUGGGCUUGGAGCUAGGAUUUUUCUGAGUGCAAUGAACCAACUCCCGAGUCUCUAGGACGUUCCUAAAAAAAUUUGAUUUUUUUCCCAUAGGAAUGCAUGGGUUAGGGUUAGGGUUAGGGUUAGGGUUGGAGCUAGGGUUAGGGUUAGGGUUAGGGUUGGAGUUAGGGUUAGUGUUGGAGCUAGGGUUAGGGUUGGGCUUGGAGCUAGGAUUUUUCUGAGUGCAAUGAACCAACUCCCGAGUCUCUAGGACGUUCCUAAAAAAAUUGAUUUUUUCCCAUAGGAAUGCAUGGGUUAGGGUUAGGGUUAGGGUUAGGGUUGGAGCUAGGGUUAGGGUUAGGGUUAGGGUUGGAGUUAGGGUUAGUGUUGGAGCUAGGGUUAGGGUUGGGCUUGGAGCUAGGAUUUUUCUGAGUGCAAUGAACCAACUCCCGAGUCUCUAGGACGUUCCUAAAAAAAUUUGAUUUUUUCCCAUAGGAAUGCAUGGGUUAGGGUUAGGGUUAGGGUUGGAGCUAGGGUUAGGGUUAGGGUUAGGGUUGGAGUUAGGGUUAGUGUUGGAGCUAGGGUUAGGGUUGGGCUUGGAGCUAGGAUUUUUCUGAGUGCAAUGAACCAACUCCCGAGUCUCUAGGACGUUCCUAAAAAAAUUUGAUUUUUUUCCCAUAGGAAUGCAUGGGUUAGGGUUAGGGUUAGGGUUAGGGUUGGAGCUAGGGUUAGGGUUAGGGUUAGGGUUGGAGUUAGGGUUAGUGUUGGAGCUAGGGUUAGGGUUGGGCUUGGAGCUAGGAUUUUUCUGAGUGCAAUGAACCAACUCCCGAGUCUCUAGGACGUUCCUAAAAAAAUUUGAUUUUUUUCCCAUAGGAAUGCAUGGGUUAGGGUUAGGGUUAGGGUUGGAGCUAGGGUUAGGGUUAGGGUUAGGGUUGGAGUUAGGGUUAGUGUUGGAGCUAGGGUUAGGGUUGGGCUUGGAGCUAGGAUUUUUCUGAGUGCAAUGAACCAACUCCCGAGUCUCUAGGACGUUCCUAAAAAAAUUUGAUUUUUUUCCCAUAGGAAUGCAUGGGUUAGGGGUUAGGGUUAGGGUUGGAGCUAGGGUUAGGGUUAGGGUUAGGGUUGGAGUUAGGGUUAGUGUUGGAGCUAGGGUUAGGGUUGGGCUUGGAGCUAGGAUUUUUCUGAGUGCAAUGAACCAACUCCCGAGUCUCUAGGACGUUCCUAAAAAAAUUUGAUUUUUUCCCAUAGGAAUGCAUGGGUUAGGGUUAGGGUUAGGGUUGGAGCUAGGGUUAGGGUUAGGGUUAGGGUUGGAGUUAGGGUUAGUGUUGGAGCUAGGGUUAGGGUUGGGCUUGGAGCUAGGAUUUUUCUGAGUGCAAUGAACCAACUCCCGAGUCUCUAGGACGUUCCUAAAAAAAAUUGAUUUUUUUCCCAUAGGAAUGCAUGGGUUAGGGUUAGGGUUAGGGUUGGAGCUAGGGUUAGGGUUAGGGUUAGGGUUGGAGUUAGGGUUAGUGUUGGAGCUAGGGUUAGGGUUGGGCUUGGAGCUAGGAUUUUUCUGAGUGCAAUGAACCAACUCCCGAGUCUCUAGGACGUUCCUAAAAAAUUUGAUUUUUUCCCAUAGGAAUGCAUGGGUUAGGUUAGGGUUAGGGUUGGAGCUAGGGUUAGGGUUAGGGUUAGGGUUGGAGUUAGGGUUAGUGUUGGAGCUAGGGUUAGGGUUGGGCUUGGAGCUAGGAUUUUUCUGAGUGCAAUGAACCAACUCCCGAGUCUCUAGGACGUUCCUAAAAAAAUUUGAUUUUUUUCCCCAUAGGAAUGCAUGGGUUAGGGUUAGGGUUAGGGUUGGAGCUAGGGUUAGGGUUAGGGUUAGGGUUGGAGUUAGGGUUAGUGUUGGAGCUAGGGUUAGGGUUGGGCUUGGAGCUAGGAUUUUUCUGAGUGCAAUGAACCAACUCCCGAGUCUCUAGGACGUUCCUAAAAAAAAUGAUUUUUUCCCAUAGGAAUGCAUGGGUUAGGGUUAGGGUUAGGGUUGGAGCUAGGGUUAGGGUUAGGGUUAGGGUUGGAGUUAGGGUUAGUGUUGGAGCUAGGGUUAGGGUUGGGCUUGGAGCUAGGAUUUUUCUGAGUGCAAUGAACCAACUCCCGAGUCUCUAGGACGUUCCUAAAAAAAUU